GGGCGGGUUUUCGCGGGUACCCGAUCCGUCCAAACCCUAUUAGGACGGAUUUGGGUAUUUACAAAACGGAUUUUGGCGGAUUCGGAUUUGAAAAAUUUUAUCCGUCUCGGAUUCGGGUAGGGUUCGGGGUUAGGUAAUCGGAUACCCGUUACCCGAACCCGAUUAGCUAUACUUCAAAACUAACCCUAAAUUCCCUUAUCCCUAAUUCAUUUUCUUAUUUUACUCGACCUUCUCUUUGCGCCUCUCUCCCCCCUUCCCUUCCCAUAAUUUCCAAUCGACACCUCCCCUACUUCACUGACGACUGCCGGCAGCCCAGUCGGCACCGGCGACAUCUCCUUCUCUCUCUCCAGUCGGCGAUAUCUCCCACUUCCUAGUCAACGCCUCCCUCCCCCACUUCCGGUCAGCGAUAUCUCCUUCUCUCUCUAGUGUGGCGACAUCUCCCACUUUCCAGUCGGAGACAACUCUUCCCUCUCCUCGGUUGGCAUCGGCGACAUCUCCUUCUCUCUCCACAGUCAGUGACAUCUACUCGUUCCUCUCUCCCCCACUUCACUGACGACUGGAGACAACCCGUGCCUCUCCCCAAUCGGCGUCAGUGACAUCUUCUUUUACUGAAAUCUCUUCGGGAUAUUUAAAAUGUCAACGUUUAAUAGUUCCGAAGAUGUAGCGAGUUGUAAAGCUACUACUGUUUCUCAACCUUCUUCAACCACUCAGCCCGCUAAUAGUUCCACCCAUUCUCAAUUGGAGCCAUCUACACCAAUCAAUCCCUCUCAUUCAUUGCCAGCCGCUUCAGAAAUUGAAGCUGGUUGUUCAAAUGAGAGUAAAUCUUGUUUAUGGGAUGCUGAGGAUGAUGUGAAUUAAAUCAUGCAUUUCACAAUUUUAAUAUCUUUUCAAGCACAAUUUGAUGUUGGAGAUUGAAAUGACCAAUUAAAUAUAUUUUAUGUUCAAUCAAUGUAGUUUAAUGAACUUUUGGAACAUUUCAUUUGUUCAAAAUGUUAUGUUGGAUAGAUAAUUGAUUAAUGGUUGUGUUAUGAUGAAUUUGUAAUAUAUUUAUUUACUUUUAGUAUAUUUAAAUUUCCUAAUUCAAGCUUGUUAUUUGGGUUAUAAUAUGUGAAUCUUUAAUUUUUUAUCAUUGAAUUGAAUUAUAAAAAUAGGGAGCUUGUUAUUUGGGUUAUAAUAUGUAAAUUUUUAAUUUUUUAUCAUUGAAUUGAAUU
Molecule: long non-coding RNA, 1211 nt
Organism: Manihot esculenta (cassava)
Lineage: Eukaryota; Viridiplantae; Streptophyta; Magnoliopsida; Malpighiales; Euphorbiaceae
Exons: 4
Source: RefSeq, a predicted model, not a curated record